This 491-nucleotide ribosomal RNA is filed under the name uncultured bacterium. RNAcentral describes it as "partial 16S ribosomal RNA". It matches the Rfam family "Bacterial small subunit ribosomal RNA", at positions 29 to 507 of the family's 1533-position model. The record is from RNAcentral.
GUGAACGCUGGCGGUAGGCCUAACACAUGCCAGUCGAACGGCAGCACCGUAAGAGCUUGCUCUUACGGGUGGCGAGUGGCGGACGGGUGAGGAAUACAUCGGAAUCUACUUUUUCGUGGGGGAUAACGUAGGGAAACUUACGCUAAUACCGCAUACGACCUACGGGUGAAAGCAGGGGAUCUUCGGACCUUGCGCGAUUGAAUGAGCCGAUGUCGGAUUAGCUAGUUGGCGGGGUAAAGGCCCACCAAGGCGACGAUCCGUAGCUGGUCUGAGAGGAUGAUCAGCCACACUGGAACUGAGACACGGUCCAGACUCCUACGGGAGGCAGCAGUGGGGAAUAUUGGACAAUGGGCGCAAGCCUGAUCCAGCCAUGCCGCGUGGGUGAAGAAGGCCUUCGGGUUGUAAAGCCCUUUUGUUGGGAAAGAAAAGCAGCAGGUUAAUACCCCGCUGUUCUGACGGUACCCAAAGAAUAAGCACCGGCUAACUUCGUG